Molecule: transfer-messenger RNA, 350 nt
Filed under: uncultured Faecalibacillus sp.
Lineage: Bacteria; Bacillati; Bacillota; Erysipelotrichia; Erysipelotrichales; Coprobacillaceae
Rfam family: transfer-messenger RNA
About the family: Bacterial tmRNA, also known as 10Sa RNA or SsrA, is named for its dual tRNA and mRNA-like properties. Its role is to liberate the mRNA from a stalled ribosome.
Source: RNAcentral
GGGGAUGUUCUGGAUUCGACAGGGGUAUGUUUGACCUUAGCUGCAGUCGUCGGAGUACGUUAAACUCACAAACAAAAAUAACUGGAAACAGACAAACUAAUUACGCUUUCGCUUAGUCGACAUAGACAUGAAAGCUGCUAUCAUUGAGUAUGCCUAUAGCUCUUUGAUAGUAUCAUACUCAUAGGAUAAGGGUGACUGGAGUCUUGACAGUCAUCACGAAAAUUUAAAGAAUCGCCUGGUGUAAAAUUGUUCAUUGAUUGUAGCCAGGUUAAAUUAUUCAAUGGACUAAACUGUAGACGCUUUGGAGGAAUUGCUUUUGGACAGGGGUUCGAUUCCCCUCAUCUCCACCA